Molecule: long non-coding RNA, 1378 nt
Organism: Haliotis rufescens (red abalone)
Lineage: Eukaryota; Metazoa; Mollusca; Gastropoda; Lepetellida; Haliotidae
Exons: 2
Source: RefSeq, a predicted model, not a curated record
UUUUAAAUGACAGGCAAUUUCAAGUCUGCGUUCAACCCUGUCUGAUCAUUAUAAUCAGGAUUAGGGUGUCCCACAAGGCAGUAUUUUGUCUGUCACUUUGUUUAGUAUCAAAAUCAACAGUUUAGCAAAGGUUUUAAACGAUUCAAUUGAUGGAUCAUUGUUUGUGGAUCACUUUAAUGUUUCUUGCCGUGGUAGGAACAUGCAUACGAUUGAGAGGCAAAUGCAAUUGUGUUUAAAUAAAAUCCAAAAAUGGUGUUUAGAAAAUGGCUUUAAAUUUUCCAAAUCUAAAACUAACUGUAUUCAUUUUUGCAGAAAAUAUAAACCUCACAAAGACCCAGAACUAAUGUUAGAUAACACCCCCAUUAAAGUUGUAAAAGAAGCGAAAUUUUUGGGUGUCAUUUUCGAUCAUCAUUUAACCUUUUUACCUUGUAUAAAAUACUUAAAGAAUAAAUGUUUGAAAGCCCUAGAUUUUUUAAAAGUUGUCUCUAAUUCCAAGUGGGGAGGGGAUCAGAAAACCAUCCUCCAAUUAUACAGAGCACUUAUUCGCUCUAAACUGGAUUACGGCUCCAUCAUCUAUGGUGCAGCCUGCAAAAGCAACCUUAUACUUUUGGAUACUAUCCAUCAUAAAGGUCUAAGACUAUGUCUUGGAUCUUUCCGCACUUCUCCUAUUGACAGUCUGUACGUUGAGGCUGAUGAGCCAUCUCUUAAAGGGGAAGUGUACACGCAAAAAUCGCUUUCUUUCUUGUUUUAAACAAAACGCAAUUUUAGAAUUAGUUAGUAUCAGUGUUAGAAAAUAUACACUCAUUUUUCUCACAGUCAAUGUAGCGAGCUCACAAUAAGUGUGAAAAUGUCAUGCCGUUAUGAGGCCUUCGUUUUCCGAGCUAAACAGGCCUGAGUUAUCCCCCUUAGAUUAUGACGUAAUUGGUGCCAAUUUAACUGGGUCCCUGUCUUGUCACAACGCAAAAGAUAUCAAGUACCAGUUUAUGGUGAGACAACAUGGCAUCCGAUACCUUGCCUGAUCCGAAGAAGUUCCCUUGACCCUUCAAGAAAUCGCAAAACCAUACGAUUUUGAACCAAAACGAGCAAGCUUCGCGGUAUGGAAACGAUGAAAAUCAAGUGGAAACAAGAGAAGACCCACAUCACCUAAUUUGACACCCGACCCCGACUCGACAUCUACACAAUUAAGCCUACGAUCGACAACGUGAAUCGAUCUACACCUCAUAAACAAGAGGUUCACUUUGGGGAUUUGCAGAAAUAGUUGAAGAAUCAGAGAAAAGUUAUUCCAUCUUGUGUUGUCGAGGUGAUUUGUGAGAGAUUUGCAUUUGAUGUAUGUAAUGUUUUUCUCUAUGCUCAUUAAAAUAAACUUUUUUCAUUGAAA